Artibeus jamaicensis (Jamaican fruit-eating bat) is the source of this 314-nucleotide long non-coding RNA. RefSeq lists it as uncharacterized. Lineage: Eukaryota; Metazoa; Chordata; Mammalia; Chiroptera; Phyllostomidae. The transcript is spliced from 2 exons. The record is from RefSeq and is a predicted model, not a curated record.
GGGGAAUGAACAGCAAUGCCCUGAAUUCCAACUGCCCUUCUACAGAGAAGUGCUGAAAUUCAAGAUAAGCCAACAACACAUUUCAAGGUUUCCCCAGAAUUCAAACUGACACCUUUACAGGAAAGCCAGCCUACCAUGGUCAGCUCGCACUGUGAAGGAACCUCCAGCAGAAGACUCCCAGGCAUACUGCUCAUCAUCAUUGUGCUUUGUGAUCACUACUACUUUCUCUGCCACCAAGUACGCAGAAUAAAAGCCAACACCAAAUUGUCCAAUCAUGGAGAUGUCUGCACCAGCCUGCCACACACACACACACA